UGGGGAAUCUUGCGCAAUGGGCGAAAGCCUGACGCAGCGACGCCGCGUGGGGGACGAAGGCCUUCGGGUUGUAAACCCCUGUCAGGCGGAACGAAUCCCCCGAGGACGAACAAUCCUCGGGGUUGACGGUACCGCCAGAGGAAGCCCCGGCUAACUACGUGCCAGCAGCCGCGGUAAUACGUAGGGGGCUAGCGUUGCUCGGAUUUACUGGGCGUAAAGAGCGCGUAGGCGGCCAGGUAAGUCCGGUGUGAAAUCCCUCGGCUCAACCGAGGAUCCGCAUUGGAAACUACCUGGCUUGAGUCCAGGAGAGGAGGGUGGAAUUCCCGGUGUAGCGGUGAAAUGCGUAGAGAUCGGGAGGAACACCGGUGGCGAAGGCGGCCCUCUGGAAUGGUACUGACGCUGAGGCGCGAAAGCUGGGGGAGCGAACGGGAUUAGAUACCCCCGUAGUCC
Molecule: ribosomal RNA, 450 nt
Filed under: uncultured prokaryote
Description: bacterial SSU rRNA
Rfam family: Bacterial small subunit ribosomal RNA
Source: RNAcentral